CAGUAGCCGCGGUAAAACGUAGGUCCCGAGCGUCGUCCGGAUUUAUUGGGCGUAAAGGGAGCGCAGGCGGUUUAGUAAGUCUGGAGUUAAAGGCAUUGGCUCAACCAAUGUAUGCUUUGGAAACUGUUAGACUUGAGUGCAGAAGGGGAGAGUGGAAUUCCAUGUGUAGCGGUGAAAUGCGUAGAUAUAUGGAGGAACACCGGUGGCGAAAGCGACUCUCUGGUCUGUAACUGACGCUGAGGAGCGAAAGCGUGGGGAGCGAACAGGAUUAGAUACCCGCGUAGUCCCUGUCUCUUAUACA
This 301-nucleotide ribosomal RNA is filed under the name uncultured bacterium. Its description in RNAcentral is "partial 16S ribosomal RNA". It matches the Rfam family "Bacterial small subunit ribosomal RNA", at positions 509 to 808 of the family's 1533-position model. The record is from RNAcentral.